UCGAGUUAGGGUCUUCUAGGCCCGAUCUCCAACCCUUUGUAUAACUACCAUGUUGCUUUGGCGAGCCCGUCUUUAACCGGACCGCCGGAGGUGUUACAGCCUCUGGCCCGUGCUCGUCAGUAGCCCACACUUAAAUUCUUUUUAACCAUGUUAAAUCUGAAACUAGUUAAAUAAACUA
This 178-nucleotide unclassified non-coding RNA is filed under the name uncultured fungus. RNAcentral describes it as "sequence contains ITS1, 5.8S rRNA gene". The record is from RNAcentral. Lineage: Eukaryota; Fungi.